RNAcentral lists this transfer RNA (87 nucleotides) under Truepera sp. RNAcentral describes it as "tRNA-Leu". It matches the Rfam family "tRNA". From Rfam's summary of the family: Transfer RNA (tRNA) molecules are approximately 80 nucleotides in length. Their secondary structure includes four short double-helical elements and three loops (D, anti-codon, and T loops). Lineage: Bacteria; Thermotogati; Deinococcota; Deinococci; Trueperales; Trueperaceae. The record is from RNAcentral.
GCCGGAAUGGCGGAACUGGUAGACGCAGCAGACUUAAAAUCUGCCGCCCCAACGGGCAUGCGGGUUCAAGUCCCGCUUCCGGCACCA